RNAcentral lists this ribosomal RNA (265 nucleotides) under uncultured archaeon. RNAcentral's name for it is "partial 16S ribosomal RNA". It matches the Rfam family "Archaeal small subunit ribosomal RNA", at positions 715 to 982 of the family's 1478-position model. The record is from RNAcentral.
AGACGUCUACAUUAGACUACCCCCGUAGUCCCAGCCGUAAACUAUGCUCGCUAGGUGUCAGGCAUGGCGCGACCGUGUCUGGUGCCGCAGGGAAGCCGUGAAGCGAGCCACCUGGGAAGUACGGCCGCAAGGCUGAAACUUAAAGGAAUUGGCGGGGAGCACAACAACGGGUGGAGCCUGCGGUUUAAUUGGACUCAACGCCGGGAAGCUCACCGGAUAAGACAGCGGAAUGAUUGCCGGGCUGAAGACUCUGCAUGACUAGCUG